UAAAGCUAUAUAUAUAGGGAUCACUCACAUUCACAUCAUUUUCUUCUGUGAGAGAGAGAAAGAGAGAGAGAGAGUUUCUUAACUAAAAUCUAUAUAUAUAUAUACAGGGAUCACUCACAUUCAAUAUCAUUUUAUGAGAGAGACAGAAGGUUAAUUUUAGGAGGAAUUGAAAAGCGUAGGGUAUUUUAUUUAACGUGGGAAAAAUGAAGUUCUGCAAGAAAUACGAGGAAUACAUGAAGGCGCAGGAAAAGAAGAAAUUGCCACGGGUUGGUUUCAAGAAACUCAAGAAAAUCUUGAAAAGAUGCAGAAAACAGCCUCAUUUGGAUGGAGCUUUGCUUGCUGAUCACAACAAUCAUAGCGAUGCCGCCUCUCACACUUGCCCACAGCAUUGCUCAGGUUACUUUAAUCUUCAAUUUAUUUUCUCACUUUUUUUUUUAAUAUUUUUAUCUUCUUGAAUUUGGGUGGUAUAUCUUUUCUUUUUUUCGAUUUUCCGUUUACGGUUUAAUAUUAGGUGAAAUUCGAUAGAAUUCUGUUGAUUUGAGCGUAGAUAAAUUUUCUGGUAUGUUUGGCUGAAAGCUGGCAGAUUCUUGUAUUGUGUUAGUGCAUCAUCGCUUCCUAAUAGUUAUUUCAAGUGGAAUUUAGAUAUGGGAGCAUUUCAAAAUUAGGACUUGGUUAUUCAAGAAACUCCAUUAGAUAGUUUGGUGAACUUGGGUGCUUGCUCACAUGUUGUAGGUGUAGUUGACAUUAGAAAAGCACAUAGCUUUCUUCAUAGCAAGGUAAUUCAUCAUCUUCCACUAUUGAUAAGAGACUACUCUUAAAUAUGCAAUACACCACCAAAGCAAAGAAUCUCAUCUUUAUGCAUUGUUAGUCAUUUACCAAAAUUGGGUGUGCUGUGUAGUUUGUGAUGGGACAUUCUUCCCUUCACUUCUUGAGGGAAAAUGUCUGCAGUAGUGGGAUUCUUCAACGCAAGAGCCCCAGAGAUUGCACGGGAUGGUGGGGGAAAAUUAUUUCUUUAGGUGGAAAUUCAAAUUGUGAGUGGUUCUUGAAUAAAUUGAGAGAAGAGUGGGGAAUGGAUCUAACACAAUCCUUUUGGGGUCAGAAAUGGGCUGGAGGAUAUACACUGAAGCUAGUAUUCCCAAGNUUCGAAAAUUACAUUCCAAUUUUACCCCUCUCCAGAUUUUGCCUUGAAAUGUCUUGCCACGUGUCACCAUCUUGAUGCGCCACAUGUCAUAAAUGUGUGGUCUAGAUUUGGAUCUACGGAUCUAUUAUAAGCAUAGGGAUCCACCGGAACCCAACCCUAUAUAUAUAUGUAUUUUUGUGUAUAUGCAUUAAAUACAUUUCAAUUUAAAAAAAAUAUUUUUUUAAAUAUUCAAAAUUUUUAUUUCUAUUUUACUAAUGCAUGUAUUUUAUCUUGAAAGUCCUCUGAUAUAUAUCACUUUCUUAGUAAGCGAUAUGUACAAAAUGUGUGAAAUACUACUCCCUCCGUCCACCAAUCAACUACCCAUUUGCCUUUAAAAUUUUGUCCAUCAAUUAACUACCUACUCUGCUUUUUGGACAUAUAUACCCUCCCUUACUUUUUAAAUUACAACAUUUUACCAAUUGGACCCACCACACUCUACCAUUACUUGUCUACUUAAUCCAAUUUUGAUGUUAAUUAAAUGGAGUAGGAUAUUUUAAAUUUCCAGUUUAUUUAUUUUCUGAAAAAUUUAUUUCCAAUUUAUUUAUUUUCGGAAUUUUCAGUAUAUUCAUUUAUUUAUUUUUGAAUUUUCAGUUUAUUUAUUUUCUAAAAAAUUUAUUUUUCCAAUUUUCUAGUUUAUUUAUUUAUUUAUUUAUUUUCUGAAAAUUUUAAUUCCAGUUUAUUUAUUUUCUGAAUUUUCAGUUUAUUUAUUUUCAAAUUUUAAGUUUAUUUAUUUUCUGAAUUUCAGUUUAUUUAUUUAUUUAAUUCCAGUUUAUUUAUUUUCUAGUUUAUUUAUUUUUCAAUUUUCAGUUUAUUUAUUUAUUUAUUUAUUUUCUGAAAAUUUUAAUUCCAGAUUAUUUAUUUUUGAAUUUUCAGAUUAUUUAUUUAUUUCCAGUUUAUUUAUUUUUCAAUUUUUAGUUCAUUUAUUUAUUUAUUUAUUUUCUGAAAAUUUUAAUUCCAGUUUAUUUAUCCAUUUAUUUGUUUCUAGUUUAUUUAUUUUCUGAAUUUUCAGUUUAUUUAUUUAUUUUCUAAAAAAUUUAAUUCUAGUUUAUUUAUUUUCUGAAUUUUCAGUUUAUUUAUUUUUGAAUUUUCAGUUUAUUUAUUUAUUUCCAGUUUAUUUAUUUUUCAAUUUUCAGUUUGUUUAUUUAUUUACUGAAAAUUUUAAUUCCAGUUUAUUUAUUCAUUUAUUUAUUUCCAGUUUAUUUAUUUUUCUGAAUUUUCAGUUUAUUUAUUUAUUUAAUUUUCAGUUUAUUUAUUUAUUUAAUUCCAUUUUAUUUAUUUUCUGAAUUUUCAGUUUAUUUAUUUAUUUUCGAACUUUAAGUUUAUUUAUUUUGUAAAAAAAAUAAUUUUCCAGAUUUUAAUUUAUUUAUUUAAUUCUAGUUUAUUUAUUUUCUAUAAAAAAUAAUUUUCCAGAUUUUAAUUUAUUUAUUUAUUUUCGAAUUUUCAGUUUAUUUAUUUAUUUAAUUCCAGUUUAUUUAUUUUCUGAAUUUUCAAUUUAUUUAUUUAUUUUUGAACUUUAAGUUUAUUUAUUUUCUAAAAAAAUUAUUUUCCAGUUUUUAUUUAAUUUAUUUAUUUAUUUUCGAAUUUUCAGUGUAUUUAUUUAUUUAUUUCCAGUUUAUUUAUUUUCAAAUUUUCAAUUUAUUUAUUUUCCAAUUUUCAGUAUAUUUAAUUAAAGAGUAAAAAAAGAAAGAAAUAGCUUAUAAAAAAAAUAAAAAAGAACACUUUAAUAAGUCAAGGCAUUAAAGUAAUGUCAAAUAGCUAAUGAAAGAUUAGCAAAAGUAAUCAAAAUAUAUUGACACUACCCUUUUAGUCUUUUACACCACUUUUACACCACCUUUUUCAGCUUUCUUAGUUUUCGUGCCGACCAUCAAAUGGGUAGUUGAUUGGUGGACGGAGGGAGUACAAGUUAGAGGUGAUAAAUUAGGAAAAUAAAUUUGAAUGCAUCACAAUUCACAAACAAACUGUCUCAAAUACCACCUUUUUUUUGGCUCCAGUUUGCGUGAACUUCUCAAUCAGAAAUUGACUUUUUCAGUGAUUUCUAUCCUUUAAUACACGUCAUUAAGCCGCACUUUACUGCUAACACGCUGAUUUCACACUUUGGCUCAUCAUAUAUUCAUAUGUACAUCCCAUAAAAAAAGAGAUAGAUUUUCCUACUAAAGCUAUAUAUAUAGGGAUCACUCACAUUCACACCAUUUUCUUCUGUGAGAGAGAGAGAGAGAAAGAGAGAGAGAGAGAGUUUACUUAACUAAAUCUCUAUAUAUAUAUAUAUACAGGGAUCACUCACAUUCAAUAUCAUUUUAUGAGAGAGACAGAAGGUUAAUUUUAGGAGGAAUUGAAAAGCGUAGGGUAUUUUAUUUAACGUGGGAAAAAUGAAGUUCUGCAAGAAAUACGAGGAAUACAUGAAGGCGCAGGAAAAAGAAGAAAUUGCCACGGGUUGGUUUCAAGAAACUCAAGAAAAUCUUGAAAAGAUGCAGAAAACAGCCUCAUUUGGAUGGAGCUUUGCUUGCUGAUCACAACAAUCAUAGCGAUGCCGCCUCUCACACUUGCCCACAGCAUUGCUCAGGUUACUUUAAUCUUCAAUUUAUUUUCUCUACUUUUUUUUUAAUAUUUUUAUCUUCUUGUAAUUUGGGUGGUAUAUUCUUUUCUUUUUUCGUCGAUUU
Molecule: long non-coding RNA, 3837 nt
Filed under: Salvia miltiorrhiza (redroot sage)
Lineage: Eukaryota; Viridiplantae; Streptophyta; Magnoliopsida; Lamiales; Lamiaceae
Description: long non-coding RNA (SMIL_LNC005050)
Source: RNAcentral